AUUUUAGACUCUCAAUCCUGAUAGGUAAAUAGCUCUACUAAAUAGGAACUUAAACUAAAUCCAAAUACAUUAGGAAGAUAAAGAUAAAGUAGGAAUUUAACUAGUCCUGGCUUAAGUAGGAAACAUGAUUGAGUCCUAAAUAGAAUAGAAGCCUAAAAAUUAAUACUGAAACAAUUACUCUUGUUAAACAAGGAGUCCAAGUUGAUCUAGAACUGUUGGAGAUAAAAAAAUAAUUAAAAAUCGUGGCUCCCUUUACUGCCCACCAAAACUUACCUCAAACUUGUUGUUUUUCUCUCGUUUUCACUCUAGAAUGUUUCCUUUGUUUUUUCUUUUGAACCUUCUCCCAUUUUUCAA
This 354-nucleotide unclassified non-coding RNA is filed under the name Hevea brasiliensis (rubber tree). The record is from RNAcentral. Lineage: Eukaryota; Viridiplantae; Streptophyta; Magnoliopsida; Malpighiales; Euphorbiaceae.